ACAUUCCUGGGGUUGAGGUUGCUAACGUCGAGCGGCUCAAUCUUCUGAAACUCGCUCCCGGUGGCCAUCUUGGAAGGUUCAUUAUCUGGACCAAAUCGGCAAUUGAGAAGGUGGAUUCAAUCUAUGGAUCCUUUGAUAAGACAUCGGAGAAGAAGAAGGGAUACCUCCUGCCACGCGCAAAGAUGGUAAAUGCUGAUUUGGCUAGGAUCAUCAACUCGGACGAGGUUCAGUCUGUGGUGAGGCCAAUCAAGAAGGAGGUGAAGAGGGCACCAAUGAAGAAGAACCCGCUCAAGAACUUGAAUACAAUGUUGAAGCUGAAUCCAUAUGCCAAGACUGCA
This 338-nucleotide long non-coding RNA is filed under the name Vitis vinifera (wine grape). RNAcentral describes it as "long non-coding RNA (VVIN_LNC001651)". The record is from RNAcentral. Lineage: Eukaryota; Viridiplantae; Streptophyta; Magnoliopsida; Vitales; Vitaceae.